CAUGCACAUGUAGCGCUUAUAAGUUAUAUGUGUUGCAAAUGAAACAGAUGUAUAAGCUUUGAAAACAAAGCAUUUGUUUACAUGCAUAUGUAUGGCUACGCAUGCAGUACCUACCUGUAAGGUACAAGUAUAAUUAGCUGUCCAAUACUUAGCAUUAGGCCAUUAAUUUUGCUCAAUAUGCUGAUAAAGAAUAUGUGCCAACAUUCAUUAUAUAUUCAGGGAACAAAGUUUUGCUUUAUCCUUCAACAAGAUCCCCAUCCCCUCCUAUUAAACCCGUGCAGUGCAACUUUAUAAUUUUCUAUAUACGUGCAAUUUGCUCCAAGCUCCCAACUGCAGCAAACCAAACCAUAGCAUGCAUAUACUACUAUAAUAUAUUGGCUUUUCUCUCCCAUAUAUAUACCGACCGGCGACCACCGUCCACCGUUCAUUAUGAGCGCUGUCUAGUGACAAAUUCAAUGCAUGAAUAUACAACCAGAAACACAAGAAAGUUGAAUUUGAGUAUAAAGAUGGAGAUAUACAGAAGAGACUGACCGGUCGUGAAUGGGAUAUGGGAGAGAGGAAAUGAAUGAAUGACUAUGAGGGCGUCCUUUUCCUUAUCCCUGCCACUCCUUAACCCAAACCAAACCAGCCCAUUUUUGGUGUAAAAUGACUAUAGUAGCCUCACAGAACAUAAUUUACUUUCCUAAUCACAUCCUGGAAGAGUCCUUUUACACGGACAGGUAGAACAAUUUUCUUG
This 736-nucleotide long non-coding RNA is filed under the name Panax ginseng (ginseng). Its description in RNAcentral is "long non-coding RNA (PGIN_LNC002523)". Lineage: Eukaryota; Viridiplantae; Streptophyta; Magnoliopsida; Apiales; Araliaceae. The record is from RNAcentral.